UUCAAAACUCCAUUUCUCUCUCCAAAAUCAAUUUUCUCACUCUCUCGUCUGGUUUUCAGAAUCAACCCAUUGUCCCUCAGAAACAUUCAAAUCCAUUCAUCUCCCUUCUACCUCUUCCACCACCGCCGUUUGAGCUCAUCCACCACCGAUUUUGAUCCUUUUCUAGUAAGUGGAUAUUAUUUGCAUUUUUCUUUGUCAGCUUAGAGAGGAAGGACCAUGUGAGGAUAUCAGCUUUGCUGGCCAGUCUUCUAGCAUCAAUGAAUGUAUUCUUCCUGCAAAAUAAUUUGAUGGCAUGUGGGAAAGCCUUCGCAAAAUACCGAUGAAUAGAAAUAAACUCCACUAGACAGAGAAGAACAAUUACAGGAAAAAUCAAUUUAUCUUUAUAAAUCACUUUAUUUUUCAUACUUUUGUGUCCUCCACAUGUUUGAUAUAAUAUUUUUCUUAUUUGUCAAAGAUGUUACCUAUUGUGAUGUGGGUUUGUGAGGCGGUAUAAAUAUCUAUGAAAGACCAUCCUACGAACAAGGGAGGAAUGGUGAUUGAUAUGAUAAAGAGAAGCUGAAGAGGAUUGUUAUAAAGAGGAUUGUAUAAAUAUCUCUUCCAGAUCUUGAUUUGCGUGAUCGCUGAUAAUUUAAUCAAUCAUACUUUUUAUACACUAUUCUCUGGUUUUCUAUAGAGGAUACAUUUCUGAGUGGAGUAAAUGUUCCUGCUCUACCUAUAAACCAAAACGUACUGAAGUGAAGUGGAGAAAGAUACUAGCUGCUUGGUGGUUAGUGGAUCACUUAAGGACGAAGCUGAGAUACGGAUGGCAAGGUAGCAAACUCCAAUGCCAGUCUCUGGUAUUUCCUUUUUCUUUGAUUUUUUCUAGGGUUUAAUAUGUUUUUGGUCCUUAUAAAUAUUGCAGUUUCAUUUUUAGUCCCUCCUGGGUUUUGGAAACGA
Long non-coding RNA from Vicia villosa (hairy vetch), 936 nucleotides. RefSeq lists it as uncharacterized. The transcript has 4 exons. NCBI's taxonomy places the organism in Eukaryota, Viridiplantae, Streptophyta, Magnoliopsida, Fabales, Fabaceae. The record is from RefSeq and is a predicted model, not a curated record.